AGGAGAAGCAGCUAUCCAGACGUCACGCUUUGCUCACCGGUAAAGGGAGAUUGAAGGGCCGCACUGUUGACAUUGUCUGUUAAAAAUGUUACACUGAUACCAGUUGAUGAAAGCGAACGAGGAAGAGGCGCCAAUCUGUUUAUCUGUACCUCGAAUUCAGCUGCUUUCUGAAUGAUAUUAACGUGGGAGGAGACACCAAGAGCUGGAAUCUAGCACCGCAGAGACUGAACCGUUAUCUACCGGUCCGAGCGUUUCUAUCGCCUGUGAAUGGAAGGAAAUCAGCGCUUAAGGGGCUGUCCGCAAAAAGCGUACUAAGCUGUAACUAUGUUCCGAAACAGCCUGAAGAUGCUGCUGGGAAGCAAGGGCCGCAAACUUAA
Molecule: long non-coding RNA, 377 nt
Organism: Cyprinodon tularosa
Lineage: Eukaryota; Metazoa; Chordata; Actinopteri; Cyprinodontiformes; Cyprinodontidae
Exons: 2
Source: RefSeq, a predicted model, not a curated record